RNAcentral lists this ribosomal RNA (442 nucleotides) under uncultured bacterium. RNAcentral describes it as "partial 16S ribosomal RNA". It matches the Rfam family "Bacterial small subunit ribosomal RNA", at positions 338 to 795 of the family's 1533-position model. The record is from RNAcentral.
CCUACGGGAGGCAGCAGUAGGGAAUCUUUCACAAUGGGCGAAAGCCUGAUGGAGCAACGCCGCGUGCAGGAUGAAGGCCUUCGGGUUGUAAACUGCUUUUAUCAGCGAGAAAUAUGAUGGUAACUUAUGAAUAAGGAUCGGCUAACUACGUGCCAGCAGCCGCGGUCAUACGUAGGAUCCGAGCAUUAUCCGGAGUGACUGGGUGUAAAGAGUUGCGUAGGUGGCAUAAUAAGUAGCUAGUGAAAUCUGGUGGCUCAACCAUUCAGACUAUUAGCUAAACUGCUAAGCUCGAGACCGUUAGGGGUAACUGGAAUUUCUAGUGUAGGAGUGAAAUCCGUAGAUAUUAGAAGGAACACCAAUAGCGUAGGCAGGUUGCUGGGACGGGUCUGACACUAAGGCACGAAAGCGUAGGGAGCAAACGGGAUUAGAUACCCGUGUAGUC